GCCUGGGUGGCUCAGUUGGUUGAGCUCUUGACUGUGGGUUUUGGCUCAGGGCAUGAUCUCAGGGUUGUGGGAUCAAGUCCCACAUCAGGCU
RNAcentral lists this transfer RNA (91 nucleotides) under Ailuropoda melanoleuca (giant panda). It matches the Rfam family "tRNA". Rfam says of the family: Transfer RNA (tRNA) molecules are approximately 80 nucleotides in length. Their secondary structure includes four short double-helical elements and three loops (D, anti-codon, and T loops). Lineage: Eukaryota; Metazoa; Chordata; Mammalia; Carnivora; Ursidae. The record is from Rfam by way of RNAcentral.